UUAUAAUUUAACUUUGUUCAGACGCAUUGUACGGGUAAAAUCCUUUGGCGGGCUGAGCCCGCCAAAGCAACAGGUUGGUAGAUUGGGUUUGAGGUCGGCCGCAGCCUUCUCAGUAAUGAUCCUUCCGCAGGUUCUAGAAAAGUUAGCAUUUGAAUUUAUUCAGUGCGCAUAUCAUAAUUACUUACCACCUACGGAAA
RNAcentral lists this unclassified non-coding RNA (197 nucleotides) under uncultured fungus. Its description in RNAcentral is "sequence contains ITS1". The record is from RNAcentral. Lineage: Eukaryota; Fungi.